UCUUCCCUUAAAGUCAGGGAGUUUCUUUGCGGGCUGAGAGUGUGCAGGGGCCGACCCUAACCCCAUCCAUCCAGCACUGCCUGGUCUGCUGCUCCUGUCACCCUAUCUGAAACGCACAGAGCCAACAAGUGGUACGGGGUGGCCUGCCUGAUCACCAGGUGCUGCUGGGGAGCCCGGCUGCCUCCUUUGCCUUCCAGUCACGCUAGCAGUGUGGUUGGAUAGAGAAAGGGAGCUUGUCUGCAGUGCCCUGGGGAAAUGGGGCUGCGCAUGGGCUGGGGGCCAGGGAGGCUGGAAGGCAGCAGCCUUUGCACUGGCUUUGCUGUACUCUGAGCUCCAGCACCAAAGUCUCUCUUACAGCAGCAGCUCUGCAAAAAAGAUUCAUCGUGCGAUGCUGGCAAAGGAGGAGGGGCUGUGCUGUUCUCUGCGUUGUACCCUGGCACCAGAGCAGAGCAUGGGGUUGUACAGCCAGGUUUGAGACGCAGCCGGACCCCACAGCAGGUUGUUUUUUGAGUAAGGGUAGUGUUGGCUUUGCUCUGGUCCAUGUGGCUGCUUUGUUCACUCUGAAGCGUACUGAUGGCUGUAGGAGUGCCAUGGCUCUCACUGCUGCUCCUCUUAGGAGACUUGAGAUGGGACAGAGGGUGUGUUUAGGGUCAAAGCUGGCAUCAGAGCUAUGGGAAAUGUGUGGGUUUUGUACCAUCCAAUCCCCCCCAGUAGCCUUAAUGCCACACCGAGGUAUUUCUCCCAGCCUCCAGUUGGGCAAUUUUAUUUUCAAGAGAUUUCCCAGAGGGAAGCCACAGCUGUACAAGCACUUCCUCCCCCUGCAGCACCCUCUUCUCCUCCUGGAUGAACCCCAGUGGGGCUGUGCUGUGCUGGGGUGGCUUUUCACUGCCGUGGUGUGACAAUGGCAGCACCCAGGUCAGGAGCUGCAUCCUUGAGCCCACGUGGUCGCUCAGUCCCGGGGGUCCCGGCUGCACGGCCGCCGAAACUCCUGCCCGUACUCAUGGAUCCACUUGUUUGCCACCCACUUGUCCCCAGCCAGCACGGGGCAUCCAGCAUGUAGGGUGUCCCCAUCACCAUCACCGUUCCUUCGUAGGUUCCACCAGAACAGGGCUGCAUUCUUAACUACUGGCACACUGAAGUUGGCGUAGAUGAAGGCAGUGGAGCCACCCGCCUCCACCGCGCUCAGAUAGAUCAUGACCGUGGCGAUCCUGUUGCCCGACUUCAUUCUGUAGAGGGGGCUCUUCCUGGACGUGGCGUGGUCGAAGUGGGGCUCGUAGUGGCCGCCCAGCCCAUAGUUGACCACCUGCAGGUACUCAGCGUAGGGUGGCCGCAGAUCCAGGCCGGUGAUGGCUGCCAUGCGCAGCUCCAGCGCCUGCACCACGGGGUCGGCCGUGUCCUUCAGCCAGGCACUCUUGCUUAUCCGGUACUCUACUUUCUGCUGCUUCUCUCCAGAGGCGACCACAGACCUCUGCAGCCAGGGCCCUGCCAGUCCCUUAAUGGUCUCAGCCUCGGCAUCGCUGACAAAGUCGUGGUACAGCACAAUGUAGGGCUGGAGCCGCAGCGUCUCCUUCUUGGCAGGCUGCAGCAGGAGGUAGGGGCUGCCAUUGGUCUCAUAGGAACAGCCAAGGUGUGAGGGCCGCUCCGGGGCCAUCUGUGCCCCCAGGCCCUGGCACAGCUCCUCGUAGGCAUCCCGGUUCUGCAGCUGGGUGACAUUGGGGCGCUGCAGGGGUGCCCCCACGCGGUCCCCAUGUGUUGCCAGCAGCUUCUCAUACUUGGCCACGUUCCUCGUCACCCUCUGGUUGCUGGGAUCAUAGUGAAGAAACUCCCUGGAGAGAGUCAAUGCAUGGGAGAUGUUUCCAGCCAUGAAGUAGGAGAAGGCGAGGUAGUCCAGCGCAUCCUCCAGGCUGCCCCGCUCCUCCUCCGGGUUCCAGCUGCCAUAGGAGAGGCGAAAACGGCUGACGGCCUCUUCCAGCCAUGCAAUGGAGUGGUAGUAGUCACCUGUGUCAUAGGCCACCUUGCCCACAUGGAAGCAGUCAUCGGCCGAGAGUGAGACACGCCUGCCAGGGCUGUACAGGGGUGGGCGGUCGGUGCUGGUGGGCUGGAAGAGGCCAUUGGCCAUUCCCUUGACGCUGAGUGCGUAGACAUCCUGCAGCCGCAUCAGCGCCCGCGCCGCCCCGUCCAGGUCCUCAGCUCCAGGCAGCUCCCGUUGCAACUCCUGGAAUCCAACAUGGAGCGCACGGCUGUUUUCGGUGGCCUCGCUGCUGUACACAACGCUGGGCCAGUCGGAGCUCAGGCGUUUGAUGAGGCUGAAGGCCAACAAGGGGUUGUCCACCGAGGCUCCGGGGUCCUGGUGCAGUGCCCGGACCUUCUCAUAGAACCUGCUCAGGCGGCGGAGCCGGGUGCUCUCCUCCCGGAGGUACGCACGGAGCCGCCGCAGCAGCCGCCCCUCAUUGCCCCGCGCCUGACGGACGCUGCGCAGCGCUGAGAAGGUGUCGGUGUGGGCGGGGGGCAGCCAGGCCAGCAGGGCCCCCAGCCCCAGCACCCCCACGGCCCGCAUCCCCCUCCCGGAGGCCGGAGUGGGAGGGAAGGAUGGAGGGAGG
This 2600-nucleotide long non-coding RNA is filed under the name Gallus gallus (chicken). The record is from RNAcentral. Lineage: Eukaryota; Metazoa; Chordata; Aves; Galliformes; Phasianidae.